RNAcentral lists this small RNA (160 nucleotides) under chicken gut metagenome. Its description in RNAcentral is "Clostridiales-1 RNA". It matches the Rfam family "Clostridiales-1 RNA". The record is from RNAcentral.
GAUACAAGGCUCGAAAAGUCAUACUUUUAUGCUUGCAUAAAAAAGUAUGACCUUGAGAGCCGAACAAACAUGAGGAAGCAGCCAUUUUCCGUGGGAAAAUGAGCGAUUCCGAAUGGUUGUAGUAUUGCGGGAGCAUGGAAUGCGGAGCAAUACGUAGUAU